Molecule: long non-coding RNA, 230 nt
Filed under: Elaeis guineensis (African oil palm)
Lineage: Eukaryota; Viridiplantae; Streptophyta; Magnoliopsida; Arecales; Arecaceae
Description: long non-coding RNA (EGUI_LNC078022)
Source: RNAcentral
GAGCCCAUUUCUAGCCCAACAAUCAAGUCAGGUCAGCUUAUAUACGGAUUGAGUCAGAUAUAUGGUGGGUUAGAAUCCCAAAUCUGAACGUGAGCUGUUUAUUAAAUUGACCAAGAUUUUAAACCUUAACUUGCUACAUUAAUAAAUAUGUAAUCCAACUCAACCUACUUAACCGGUUCAAUAAAUAGGUAAUCUGCUUAGCCUUAUGACCUGUAUAACCUACGUACCUA